AGGGGAAUAUUGCACAAUGGACGGAAGUCUGAUGCAGCAACGCCGCGUGCGGGAUGACGGCCUUCGGGUUGUAAACCGCUUUUUCUAAUGACGAAGUUUUUUGACGGUAGUGGGGGAAGAAGCACCGGCUAACUACGUGCCAGCAGCCGCGGUGAUACGUAGGGUGCGAGCGUUGUCCGGAAUUAUUGGGCGUAAAGAGCUUGUAGGCGGUUUGUCGCGUCGAUAGUGCAAACUCAGUUCUUAACGCUGAGCCUACUGUUGAUACGGGCAGACUAGAGGAAGGUAGGGGAGAAUGGAAUUCCCGGUGGAGCGGUUGAAUGCGCAGAUAUCGGGAGGAACACCGGUGGCAAAGGCGGUUCUCUGGGCCUUUCCUGACGCUGAGAAGCGAAAGCGUGGGGAGCGAACAGG
RNAcentral lists this ribosomal RNA (408 nucleotides) under Fusobacteriota bacterium. RNAcentral describes it as "Fusobacteria bacterium partial 16S ribosomal RNA". It matches the Rfam family "Bacterial small subunit ribosomal RNA", at positions 355 to 776 of the family's 1533-position model. The record is from RNAcentral. Lineage: Bacteria; Fusobacteriati; Fusobacteriota.